This 343-nucleotide ribosomal RNA is filed under the name Bacillus cereus. RNAcentral describes it as "bacterial SSU rRNA". It matches the Rfam family "Bacterial small subunit ribosomal RNA", at positions 527 to 868 of the family's 1533-position model. The record is from RNAcentral. Lineage: Bacteria; Bacillati; Bacillota; Bacilli; Caryophanales; Bacillaceae.
GUAGGUGGCAAGCGUUAUCCGGAAUUAUUGGGCGUAAAGCGCGCGCAGGUGGUUUCUUAAGUCUGAUGUGAAAGCCCACGGCUCAACCGUGGAGGGUCAUUGUAAACUGGGAGACUUGAGUGCAGAAGAGGAAAGUGGAAUUCCAUGUGUAGCGGUGAAAUGCGUAGAGAUAUGGAGGAACACCAGUGGCGAAGGCGACUUUCUGGUCUGUAACUGACACUGAGGCGCGAAAGCGUGGGGAGCAAACAGGAUUAGAUACCCUGGUAGUCCACGCCGUAAACGAUGAGUGCUAAGUGUUAGAGGGUUUCCGCCCUUUAGUGCUGAAGUUAACGCAUUAAGCACU